Molecule: ribosomal RNA, 253 nt
Filed under: uncultured bacterium
Lineage: Bacteria
Description: partial 16S ribosomal RNA
Rfam family: Bacterial small subunit ribosomal RNA
Source: RNAcentral
UACAGAGGUCUCAAGCGUUGUUCGGAUUCAUUGGGCGUAAAGGGUGCGUAGGUGGCGGGGUUAGUCAGGUGUGAAAUCUCGAGGCUCAACCUCGAAACUGCACUUGAUACUGCCUUGCUAGAGUACUGGAGAGGAGAUUGGAAUUUACGGUGUAGCAGUGAAAUGCGUAGAUAUCGUAAGGAAGACCAGUGGCGAAGGCGAAUCUCUGGACAGUUACUGACACUGAGGCACGAAGGCCAGGGGAGCAAACGGG